GGAUAACUACCGGAAACGGUAGCUAAUACCGGAUAAUUUAUUUCGCAGCAUUGUGGAAUAAUGAAAGACGGAGCAAUCUGUCACUUGGGGAUGGGCCUGCGGCGCAUUAGCUAGUUGGUGGGGUAAUGGCNCACCAAGGCGACGAUGCGUAGCCGACCUGAGAGGGUGAACGGCCACACUGGGACUGAGACACGGCCCAGACUCCUACGGGAGGCAGCAGUAGGGAAUCUUCCGCAAUGGGCGAAAGCCUGACGGAGCAACGCCGCGUGAGUGAUGAAGGUUUUCGGAUCGUAAAGCUCUGUUGCCAAGGAAGAACGUCUUCUAGAGUAACUGCUAGAAGAGUGACGGUACUUGAGAAGAAAGCCCCGGCUA
This 372-nucleotide ribosomal RNA is filed under the name bacterium gwi39. Its description in RNAcentral is "bacterial SSU rRNA". It matches the Rfam family "Bacterial small subunit ribosomal RNA", at positions 141 to 499 of the family's 1533-position model. The record is from RNAcentral.